Long non-coding RNA from Sphaeramia orbicularis (orbiculate cardinalfish), 201 nucleotides. RefSeq lists it as uncharacterized. The transcript has 3 exons. The record is from RefSeq and is a predicted model, not a curated record. Lineage: Eukaryota; Metazoa; Chordata; Actinopteri; Kurtiformes; Apogonidae.
GGUCCAUGGAGUUCCCACCAUUCUUCUCUAUAGAGACGAUCCAUCACAGACCAGAGUUCUCUGGACCUGAUCCUGGACCCAGUUGUGUGUCCUUCAAGAGUGACCGGUCCAAGGAGUUCCCACCAUUGUUUUCUACAGAGACAGUGGAGCAGCAGAGCUCAGAGGUUCCCACUGGUCUACAGGAUCAGACUCAGCUGGACU